RNAcentral lists this non-coding RNA (450 nucleotides) under Pan troglodytes (chimpanzee). The record is from RNAcentral. Lineage: Eukaryota; Metazoa; Chordata; Mammalia; Primates; Hominidae.
GGAGAAUCUAAGACUUCUGAAGAGUUUCUUGCUUCUUUCCUGUGGGGCAGUGACUCCACUUCCCAGCAGUAAUGGAAUAUCCUGAAUUAGCUACAUUAAUGUUAGAACCAUUUGGACCUCACCCAGGACUUCAACUACAUUAUGGUUCUAGUAUGUUAGGUUUAUGUUCCCCUGCUUUCUACAAUCCUGUUCAAAGAGUUGCUGACUUAACCACAGAGAGGAUUCCAGAACAUGAGACACAGAAUAAACUUGAGCAAUCAUAGUCCAUCCACUUCAUUUUCUCAUCAAAAACCAAAGGUCCAGUGAAGCUCUGGAACUCAACGCUGUAAAGGAGCGAAGGAGCUUCUAUACAGAGCCUGGAUGCCUGUCUCCUUAUCCUACUUCAGUGGACUUGACUGCAAUCCGGACUAUGCUGUUUUCUAAGCAUUUAAAAUAAAAUAAAAAGUGUAA